Non-coding RNA from Pelobates cultripes (western spadefoot toad), 212 nucleotides. Lineage: Eukaryota; Metazoa; Chordata; Amphibia; Anura; Pelobatidae. The record is from the annotation of a GenBank genome assembly.
GCCCUUCUGCUCCUUUCUCAUUCUGAUCCCUUUCUGCUCCUUGCAGACCCUUUCUGCUCCCUUUUCUACUUUACCUUUGUGCUCCUUGCAGACCCUUUCUGCUACCUUUUCUACUUUACCUUUGUGCUCCUUGCUGUCCCUUUCUGCUCUUUCUCCUACUUUACCUUUGUGCUCCUUCUGAUUCUUUCUGCUCCUUUACCUUUGUCCUCCUU